GGGGAUUAGUGGCGAACGGGUGAGUAACACGUGAGUAACCUGCCCUUAACUCUGGGAUAAGCCUGGGAAACUGGGUCUAAUACCGGAUAUGACUCCUCAUCGCAUGGUGGGGGGUGGAAAGCUUUAUUGUGGUUUUGGAUGGACUCGCGGCCUAUCAGCUUGUUGGUGAGGUAAUGGCUCACCAAGGCGACGACGGGUAGCCGGCCUGAGAGGGUGACCGGCCACACUGGGACUGAGACACGGCCCAGACUCCUACGGGAGGCAGCAGUGGGGAAUAUUGCACAAUGGGCGCAAGCCUGAUGCAGCGACGCCGCGUGAGGGAUGACGGCCUUCGGGUUGUAAACCUCUUUCAGUAGGGAAGAAGCGAAAGUGACGGUACCUGCAGAAGAAGCGCCGGCUAACUACGUGCCAGCAGCCGCGGUAAUACGUAGGGCGCAAGCGUUAUCCGGAAUUAUUGGGCGUAAAGAGCUCGUAGGCGGUUUGUCGCGUCUGCCGUGAAAGUCCGGGGCUCAACUCCGGAUCUGCGGUGGGUACGGGCAGACUAGAGUGAUGUAGGGGAGACUGGAAUUCCUGGUGUAGCGGUGAAAUGCGCAGAUAUCAGGAGGAACACCGAUGGCGAAGGCAGGUCUCUGGGCAUUAACUGACGCUGAGGAGCGAAAGCAUGGGGAGCGAACAGGAUUAGAUACCCUGGUAGUCCAUGCCGUAAACGUUGGGCACUAGGUGUGGGGGGACAUUCCACGUUUUCCGCGCCGUAGCUAACGCAUUAAGUGCCCCGCCUGGGGAGUACGGCCGCAAGGCUAAAACUCAAAGGAAUUGACGGGGGCCCGCACAAGCGGCGGAGCAUGCGGAUUAAUUCGAUGCAACGCGAAGAACCUUACCAAGGCUUGACAUGGACCGGACCGGGCUGGAAACAGUCCUUCCCCUUUGGGGCCGGUUCACAGGUGGUGCAUGGUUGUCGUCAGCUCGUGUCGUGAGAUGUUGGGUUAAGUCCCGCAACGAGCGCAACCCUCGUUCCAUGUUCAGCGCGUAUGGCGGGGACUCAUGGGAGACUGCCGGGGUCAACUCGGAGGAAGGUGGGGACGACGUCAAAUCAUCAUGCCCCUUAUGUCUUGGGCUUCACGCAUGCUACAAUGGCCGGUACAAAGGGUUGCGAUACUGUGAGGUGGAGCUAAUCCCAAAAAGCCGGUCUCAGUUCGGAUUGGGGUCUGCAACUCGACCCCAUGAAGUCGGAGUCGCUAGUAAUCGCAGAUCAGCAACGCUGCGGUGAAUACGUUCCCGGGCCUUGUACACACCGCCCGUCAAGUCACGAAAGUUGGUAACACCUCGAAGCCGGUGGUCCUAACCCCUGUGGGAGGGAGC
This 1359-nucleotide ribosomal RNA is filed under the name Arthrobacter sp. Its description in RNAcentral is "bacterial SSU rRNA". It matches the Rfam family "Bacterial small subunit ribosomal RNA", at positions 87 to 1453 of the family's 1533-position model. Lineage: Bacteria; Bacillati; Actinomycetota; Actinomycetes; Micrococcales; Micrococcaceae. The record is from RNAcentral.